Molecule: unclassified non-coding RNA, 4627 nt
Filed under: Mizuhopecten yessoensis (Yesso scallop)
Lineage: Eukaryota; Metazoa; Mollusca; Bivalvia; Pectinida; Pectinidae
Description: uncharacterized protein C19orf44-like, transcript variant X2
Source: RNAcentral
UUUACAAAUGGCGGUCCCAGAGCAGCGAGAAUAUUAUUGUGCGAGUUCUCUAACUUCAAUCGUCAAUGAAGAUUGAGGGGAAAAUAAUACCACACGGAAAUAUUCUGAAGAUAUAAAUAUGUCAACCAUAUUUAUUUGACAACAGAUUUCUCCUCCUGCCGGGUGUUUGUUGUUCCAUCUUAUUUUGACAAUGAAGAGGUCCAAUGCUUUGCUACAGAAGGUUUCAUCACAACUGAAGGGAGACAUAAUCAAGAAACCAACAGAAGAGGAUGAUCUUGAGGCCUAUAUCAAGAGUCUUUCACAGAAGACAGCACAACAUAAGAAAUCAGUAAAUUUUGAAGACAUAGGUGAUAUAUCCAUUUCUAGUGAGUUGGAUACAAAUUCAUCUACCCAACAUAAAAAAAAUGUUCCCACUGUCGGAAGCAAAUUUCUGAAAAAGAAUACUGGACAAAAAACUGCACCAGCUCCUCAGUCAAAGUUUUUAAAGAAACCACAAACAUCCGCAGCUAGUCCCAUCCCAACUGUUUCUUCUCAACCACGCCCUGGCACUUCCAGGGGGGCUCUACAGCAACAAGCAAAGGGUCCCGUGUACGGACAGCCAAGACCAGGGACACAGAAAUCCUCCUCAUUAGACAAGGCUGCAGCUCUCACUCAGAAGAUUGCUGGAAGACAAACUUUUGCAAACACCAAAAAUGUUUUUACUCUUGAGACAGACAGUGAGGACACAUGUACAUUGACUACUCCACGAGCAUCCAACCCUACCCCCGGUAAAAGACAAAACAACAGGGUCCUUAGCCCUAGUCCUAGAUCUGUGUCCUCUGACAGUGUCAAAAUAGGGAGAGAUGGUGGCAAAUUCAUGAAAAAGAAACAACCUGCUCCUGCAGAGGAAAAGUCUGCACCACAUAGAAAACCAGAGCCUAGUGGCAGGAAAAGUCCUGUUCCGAAAGCUAAGCAGGCAGGAGAAGGCCAGAGAAAGUCAGCAUCUCCAUUUCUGCUGAAGAGUUCUCAAAGAUAUUCCACAGAUGUUGUGUUAUCGUCUGAAGAGGAGAGUUUGGCCGAGUUUAUCACUGGGCUUGACGCUGACUCCUCGGAGGAUGGUAAAAUUAGGGAAUAUAUGAAAAGGAUCAAGUCCAAUGAUAAACUGAAGACCCGAGUUCCAUCACCUCCUCCCAGGAGGACUCCCUCCCCAGAUGCCAAACCUCCCACGGCUAUCCGAAGAACUCCAUCGCCACAGAACCAACGCAGGUCGCCCUCCCCAAAAUUCCACAGGAGGUCACCAUCCCCGGUGUUCCGAAGGUCAAGGUCAUCUGAUGAUUCUGCACUUUCGGACUCCCUCCAAAGUGAGGUUAUAGAGGAGAGAGACGAGAGUGACGCACAAAGUAUCAGUUCAGAAGAUGGAUUUAAAUUCAAUCUCAUGGAUGCCAAUUCUUUUGAGCCGGUAGUGUUUGAAACAAAAUCACGAAAGACAACCAAAUCUCCUGUUCAGAAGAAAUCAGCCAAAUCUCCAGUAGAAAGAAGGUCAAGGGAGACUAUGAAAACUGCCAGUAAACCAAGAAAAGAAUUAGAAAAGAAACCCAAGAAAGAAAAGAAAAAUGAUCUAUUUAGUUCAUUUGGACUUCACACGGUAGAAGAGUUGUUGGGGGUAGGGGAUAUUUCUGAGGUUCGUGAUAUAAGUGAAGCAUCAGAGAUUCGGACAGAAUCUUCUCAGUCUGAGAUUCGUACAGAGAAAGAUGAACCAUUUGUCUUUGGCCAAAGAACUAAGCCAGAACCAGAGUCAGAGAUAGAAAUUGUCUCCGAGAUUAAAACUAGGGACUACAGCACUCAGCGAAAAGACUCAUAUUCUGAGGACUUUGAACCAAGUAUUUCUGAAAGGAUUGGUAUGAGUUCAAAAUCCCACCGAUUAAAGUCAGGUUCUGAGAUUCGGACACGAUACAGUAGUGAAGGCACUGCAGACGACUAUACAGAAGAAUUUAAUAGUGACACAGACUCUAUAGCCACCAUUUCAAGAACUUCGGCAGGGCCACCAUCUGAGAUGACAAUCAGUGACAGCUAUACAGACCAAUCAGCAUCAUAUAGUUAUACAGCUGAAAAAAGGAAGCCUAAGACGGGACACGUGAAGAUGAAGAGUGUGGAGGUACAAACGGCUGAGCCUGGUCUGACAUUCUCCUGGGAUUCCCGCUACUCUGGUAUGGCCAUGCCUGGGCCAGCCCUGGGGAUGGGCUUUGUUGACCCCACCCCUAUAGCUACACAUGUGGUCAGCCCAGAAACACUAGAAACAAUGACAGCAUACAGUCCAAGUAUGAUAGCCCUGCAUGACAUGUUACGACAACAGCUGGAGCUGACCAGGGACUUCCUCAAAUCACAGAGAUAUAUGUACCAGUGUAUGAUGUCUAGUGUAGACCAACGCCACACCUACACAACGCUGGAGGAUACCAGAAAGUAUAUACGCAAGAACAGAAGAAAAAGACUUACCUUCAAAGAAGCUCUGAGAAUGGUGGAUGCCGAGAUGGAGAGAUAGUCUUUCUUUCAGGAGAACACUGUUAGUGUGUAUUAUUCUUCACAGGAAUAUCAGAACAAUACAGAACAAAUAUCAGCCCCUCCAGAUAGAAUUGCUUAGAGCAAUUAAGCUUCUUAAUACGCUGUGAUUGAAUUCUAUGCAAAUUAUACUGAAGGACUUCUCUUUGGUCUUUAGUUCCAACAUUUAAUACAUGUAACAAUUUCAGUUAUGCUAAGUCAGUUUGAAAGAGAUUCUGGAAUCCCAUUAAAGUCUUAGAAGUUCUGUGUCUGACUCAACAGUCUGUGAGGUGUCAUAUUACUGUCAGAUCAGCCAGGUGUCUGACCAAACAAUCUGUCAGGUGUCAUAUUACUGUCAGAGCAGCCAGGUGUUUGACUACACAGGGAGUCAGUCUGGUGUCAUAUCCCUGUCAGAAUGGUCAGGUGUCUGACUACACAGGGAGUCUGUCUGAUGUCAUAUUACUGUCAGAACAGCCAGGUGUUUGACUACACAGGAAGUCAGUCUGGUGUCAUAUUACUGUCAGAAUGGCCAGGUGUCUGACUACACAAGGAGUCUGCCAGGUUGACAUCAGAUUAUUGUCAGAAUAGUAAAGGUGUCUGACUAGAUAUAGAGUCUGUAUAAUAUUAUAUCAAUGUCAGAAUGGCUAGGUGUCUGAUUAGAUGGAGAGUCUGUCUGCUGUCAUAUCACUUUCAGAACAGCCAGGUGUCUGACUACACAGCUGUGAGUCUGUCUGUUGUCAUAUCAUUGUCAGACUGAUCAGGUGUCUGACUACACAAGGAGUCUGCCAGGUUGACAUCAGAUUAUUGUCAGAAUAGUAAAGGUGUCUGACUACACAGGGAGUCUGUCAGGUGUCAUAUUACUGUCAGAAUAGCUAAGUGUUUGACUUAUUAGGGAGUCUGCUGCCAUAUCACUGUCAGAAUGGCCAGGUGUCUAACGAGAUAGAGAGUAUGUCUGGUGUCAUACUACUGUCAGAAUGGCCAGGUGUCUGACUAGAUAGAGAGUCUGUCUGGUGUCAUAUUACUGUCAGAAUAGCUAAGUGUUUGACUAAUCAGGGAGUCAGCUGCCAUAUCACUGUCAGAAUGACCAGGUGCCUGACUACACAGGGAGUCUGACUGGUGUAUUACUACUGUCAGAAUAGCCAGGUGCCUGACACCACUAACUUGUGGUUGUUUUGGUGCCACUCUAGUGUAACAUACAUGUAUUGCCUUAUUUUAGCUGAGUAGGGGAUACUAACCUGUUAGAGAUAAUGGCUAUUACAGAAGCUGUGACCAGACUGGGGACAUGAAUCUCCUCACCGUCACUGGAGUAGAUAGUAACCAGACUCAGGACAUGAAUCUCCUAUCCGUUAUUGGAGUAGGUUAUAAUUACCCUUAAACAGACUGGCCGAUAUAGUGGCUCAGACAUUGAUGCAUGUCGUGCUGAUGCUGCAAGUCUAUCAGUAAACAGUGAAUCACCAGGACCUGUAAAACAGUUUUAUCUCAUUAAGGAAGUGUUUGUAUGGUAGGAGAUCAGGAUUAGGCUCAUGUACCUAAAUCCAUUGGCUGACACCCUCAUGCCCCCAAAGAUUCAGACACGUGGAAAUAUAAGUAUUACUAAUUAUUAAUUUAUAGGUGAUCUUAUAUGACUCUACCAUCCUUGCACUUUGUCCUUCUAUGUGUUGUGUAAUAUUUCAUUGAUAAUUUGGUAUAAAGAUCACUAUAUUUCCUUCAAUUAGUCUCAUUAUCCCAAUUUAAUAUGUAGGUGACUCUGCUGAAAUAAGAAGUUAUAACUGAGGGUGGAAAUUAGGAAUUUCCGUCCAAAACGAGGAUGCUUGGGAAAGAUAAGCAGUGGUUUCUGUGACGUUUUGACAGAUUCUGCUGUCCCUGUGGUUAUUUAAAAAAACAUUGGGUUUGCUGAGAAGUGUUAUUUCAUUUUGGCAGAUGAAAUACAAAUGUUUUACAGAAACACCCUGAAAGAGAAUACAAAGUGUAUACAUGUAGUAAAAUAAUCUAUAAUGUUUUACAUACGACUUACAUAUUGUGAGGCUGUAUGAUAUAGUAUAUCUGUGAUAUUUUUUAUAGAUCUAGGACCUCGUUAUCUAAUAUGUAAAAAAUGUAAUUGACAUUACUUUGA